GAUGAACGCUGGCGGCGUGCCUAAUACAUGCAAGUCGAGCGAACAGACGAGGAGCUUUCUCCUCUGACGUUAGCGGCGGACGGGUGAGUAACACGUGGAUAACCUACCUAUAAGACUGGGAUAACUUCGGGAAACCGGAGCUAAUACCGGAUAAUAUAUUGAACGGCAUGGUUCAAUAGUGAAAGACGGUUUUGCUGUCACUUAUAGAUGGAUCCGCGCCGGAUUAGCUAGUUGGUAAGGUAACGGCUUACCAAGGCAACGAUGCGUAGCCGACCUGAGAGGAUGAUCGGCCACACUGGAACUGAGACACGGUCCAGACUCCUACGGGAGGCAGCAGUAGGGAAUCUUGCGCAAUGGGCGCAAGCUUGACGGAGCAACGCCGCGUGAGUGAAGAAGGUCUUCGGAUCGUAAAACUCUGUUAUUAGGGAAGAACAAAUGUGUAAGUAAAUAUGCACGUCUUGACGGUACCUAAUGAGAAAGCCACGGCUAACUACGUG
This 497-nucleotide ribosomal RNA is filed under the name uncultured bacterium. RNAcentral describes it as "partial 16S ribosomal RNA". It matches the Rfam family "Bacterial small subunit ribosomal RNA", at positions 28 to 507 of the family's 1533-position model. The record is from RNAcentral.